CCUACGGGCGGCUGCAGUGGGGAAUAUUGGACAAUGGGGGCAACCCUGAUCCAGCCAUGCCGCGUGUGUGAAGAAGGCCCUCGGGUUGUAAAGCACUUUCAGUGAGGAAGAACGCCUGGUGGUUAAUACCCAUCAGGAAAGACAUCACUCACAGAAGAAGCACCGGCUAACUCCGUGCCAGCAGCCGCGGUAAUACGGAGGGUGCGAGCGUUAAUCGGAAUUACUGGGCGUAAAGCGCGCGUAGGUGGCUUGAUAAGCCGGUUGUGAAAGCCCCGGGCUCAACCUGGGAACGGCAUCCGGAACUGUCAAGCUUGAGUGCAGGAGAGGAAGGUAGAAUUCCCGGUGUAGCGGUGAAAUGCGUAGAGAUCGGGAGGAAUACCAGUGGCGAAGGCGGCCUUCUGGACUGACACUGACACUGAGGUGCGAAAGCGUGGGUAGCAAACAGGAUUAGAUACCCCAGUAGUC
RNAcentral lists this ribosomal RNA (465 nucleotides) under Vreelandella stevensii. Its description in RNAcentral is "partial 16S ribosomal RNA". It matches the Rfam family "Bacterial small subunit ribosomal RNA", at positions 338 to 795 of the family's 1533-position model. Lineage: Bacteria; Pseudomonadati; Pseudomonadota; Gammaproteobacteria; Oceanospirillales; Halomonadaceae. The record is from RNAcentral.